Molecule: long non-coding RNA, 752 nt
Organism: Maniola jurtina (meadow brown)
Lineage: Eukaryota; Metazoa; Arthropoda; Insecta; Lepidoptera; Nymphalidae
Exons: 2
Source: RefSeq, a predicted model, not a curated record
CUCUUCUGCGUCGAAACACUCAGGGCAAACAAUUUCUCACUUUGACACAGGAUCCUAAGGCCCCAUAAAGCCUGUGAAAAUACUACAGAUACUGAAGAUAUACAAAAGAUAUAGGUACUGUAGAAUGAAAAAAAUAGAAUAAAGAAGAAAAAGAUACUAAAGAAAGAAAAAAUAGAAGAAAGAGGAUCUAAUAAGAAAAGGCGCUUUGCACAAGUUGUAAAAAACAAGAAGACAACUCAUCUGCGCGCGAAAAAAUUGUAAAAAGAAGAAUGUAGAAGAAAUAAGAAGAAGAAAGAAGAAGAACAUGCGUAAUAAUAUAGUUAUUGCUAGUUUUUAGCUUUUCAAUUCUCAUGAUACGUUCACGAUCAAUCCAAUCCAAACAAACCCGAAAUAUAGGAAUUACCGGCCGGGUAAUUUCGCCUCGGUGUUUUUAAGUGUUUUUGAAAGGAUGUCAGGUCAUCCGGGAAUCCUGUCGAGUCCCAGGUUAACUGAUUAGGGCGUUGGUCCUCUUCAGUGGUUGCGACGCUGCCUGCGGCUACAGGUGUUAGAUUGUUUCCUGAAUGCUAUCACAAUAUCAACUGUUAAACAGUCUCACCACAAUCAUCAUCGUCAGUCGAUAGCACGGUCUUGCUCGUCAGAAUCUCGUGGCUCCGUUCUGUCCCCUACGUCUUCCAACGCUGCACUUUCCGGGUGAGAUUGCCAAUCUGGAAACGGGUCGAAUUAGAAGAAAGGCGAUCGAAAUUUAGGUUAGA